UUGUGACCAUAUCAUGUUGAAACACCAGUUCUCCUCCAGUCACCAAAUUUAAGCAACAUCAAGCCUGGUCAGUACCUAGAUGGGUGACCACUUGGGAAUACAAGGCACUGCAA
Non-coding RNA from Acanthosepion pharaonis, 113 nucleotides. The record is from the annotation of a GenBank genome assembly. Lineage: Eukaryota; Metazoa; Mollusca; Cephalopoda; Sepiida; Sepiidae.